CCCCCCAACCGCCCAAGUUCAGUCAAACACUCUUAACUCACGUUGAUUUUCAGCCCACACACAACUCACACACACUAACACCUAAAACACACACACCAUUCACGCAUAUACCAUUUUUAGCUUGAGCUCAAGCUUUUGAGCUCCGAUUUGAGCACCGAGAUGAACGCCGAUCAUCUUUUCGAUCACGUAUCUAAGUAGGUCCUUUUGGGAAGUAACGACUUGAGGGAGAGAGUGACGUUACUCAUUGAUACAGAGACACAACGAGGUUGAGCUGAUGUGAUGAUGGUGCUGCAAUGAGCGGAGUCUCCAGGGUUGUUAAUAAAUAGUUAACCUGUCUAGAAUAUGUCUUCAUACAUAUGUCUAGCUACUUUCCGCUGCAAGAUGUUGUUGAUGUUAUAGUAUGUUAUGUCAUACUUUGAGUCUUAAGAGAAUGGUUUCAUACGAUGUAUAACUUGAUUAAUGAUAUUAAUUAAGUUUUAUGCUGUCUUUCAUAGACUGUUUUCAAUUGAGUAUUAAUGAAUAAAAAUGACGAGUUUUAUUAA
Molecule: long non-coding RNA, 542 nt
Organism: Salvia miltiorrhiza (redroot sage)
Lineage: Eukaryota; Viridiplantae; Streptophyta; Magnoliopsida; Lamiales; Lamiaceae
Exons: 3
Source: RefSeq, a predicted model, not a curated record